UUGAACGCUGGCGGCAUGCCUUACACAUGCAAGUCGAACGGCAGCACGGGAGCAAUCCUGGUGGCGAGUGGCGAACGGGUGAGUAAUGCAUCGGAACGUACCCAGUCGUGGGGGAUAACUACGCGAAAGCGUAGCUAAUACCGCAUACGCCCUGAGGGGGAAAGCGGGGGACCUUCGGGCCUCGCGCGAUUGGAGCGGCUGAUGUCGGAUUAGCUAGUUGGUGGGGUAAAGGCCUACCAAGGCGACGAUCCGUAGCUGGUCUGAGAGGACGACCAGCCACACUGGGACUGAGACACGGCCCAGACUCCUACGGGAGGCAGCAGUGGGGAAUUUUGGACAAUGGGGGAAACCCUGAUCCAGCCAUGCCGCGUGCAGGAUGAAGGCCUUCGGGUUGUAAACUGCUUUUGUACGGAACGAAAAGAUCUCUUCUAAUAAAGGGGGUUCAUGACGGUACCGUAAGAAUAAGCACCGGCUAACUACGU
Molecule: ribosomal RNA, 482 nt
Filed under: uncultured bacterium
Lineage: Bacteria
Description: bacterial SSU rRNA
Rfam family: Bacterial small subunit ribosomal RNA
Source: RNAcentral